AGGCUUGUGAGUGCUAAACCCUUGUUUGUGAGUUUUAAAAAAAUAAGGGAAAGGUUUUGGGGGGUUUUGAAGGGGUUAAUUUAUCCAAUUUUAGAGUUCCCCCAAUUUGGGGGGUUUUGGAGGGUUAAAGAUACGAAUUGACCAUAUUACCCUUACAAUAAUACAAAAUUCCAAUUUUAGCCCUAACCUAAUUUCAUCUCAUUCUAACGAUUCAUUUCACUAUAACUGUGCACGCUCUCUCUUCUCCCGACGGCGACGUGAAUGGCGAUCUCAACCUGAACGGCGGCGAACGGCGGCGAGCGGCGGAGAAGGAAGUUGAACAACACAGUUUCCUUCAUCUCUCUCGAUCCUCUUUCUUCUGGUAUCAAUCUCAAACUAUCUUCCAUUCUUUUCCAAUUUCUUUUCCUUUUGCUAUUCAUUCAUGAAUUGAUUUAUGUUUUGUUGUUUGAUUCACAAUUUGAUUUAUGUUUUUGUGUUUGAUUCACAAUUUGAUUUCUGUUUUGCUAUUUGAUUUUUUAGAGUGAAUCACAUCUACUCAAUGGAUACUGUAUAAUCACUAUUAUUAUGAUUUCACUAUUAUUAUAAAUAAAUGUUGCUUGUUUCACAAAAAUGUAUUAUUUUUUGUUGGAUUCAGUUUAAAUGGAUCAUGAAAUGGCUCGUCAAACAAUUAUGGAAUUGAUUAGAUGGAGAGCAAGACUUCGAAUGACACUUGUUCAUGUCAUAUGUCUUGUAGUUUGUUACUAUAGGAUUAAAAUCCAUUCUCAAAGUAGGAUAGUUGAUCGUAGUUUGACUCUUGAGAAGGAUAGAGUACGCAAUAAGAUAAUGAAUAUAGUUGCUACUAGUGAAGGUCGGAAGAUAAUAAGAAUGAGUCCUAAGGCGUUUUUGGACUUAUGCUCUAUAUUACAACAAGAGGGUGGUCUUCUACCAACACAAAGGGUAACCGUAGAGGAACAAGUUGCUAAAACUCUUUACCUUCUAACACACAAUGUUAGAAAUAGAGAGAUUCAAUUCUGGUUCCGACGCUCUGGCGAAACUACUAGUCGUCAUUUUCAUCGGGUGCUCCGAUCAAUAAUUGAGAUAGGGCGUACCUAUCUCAAACAACCAGAUGGAUCACGCAUUCCGAUAGAAAUUCUUGGAAAUCAUCGAUUUUACCCCUACUUUAAAGACUGCGUUGGAGCAAUUGAUUGUACACAUGUUCGUGUAAAAGUACCAUUGGCUGAAGCUUCAAGGUAUCGUGGUAGGAAAAGUUUUCCUACACAAAAUGUGUUGGUCGCAUGUUCUUUUGAUCUUAAGUUCACUUAUGUUUUGCCUGGAUGGGAGGGUACUGCUUCUGAUUCUAGGAUAUUAAAACAUGCACUACAGAGAAGAAAUGGUCUCAAAAUACCUAGAGGUAAGUUUUAUAUUCUUGAUGCUGGAUUCAUGUUGAGAAAGGGGUUAAUUACACCGUUUAGAUCAACACGUUAUCAUUUGAAAGAAUUCUCAGCCAGAAAUCCCCCUAGAACAGCUCAAGAGUUAUUCAACCUUCGACAUUCAUCGUUGCGUAAUGUUGUUGAAAGGGCUUUUGGGAUUGUGAAGAAAAGAUUUCCUAUCAUUUCAAGUGGCGCUGAAGCAACUUAUGGAAUCAAUACUCAAAAUUAUAUUAUCCUUGCAUGUUGCAUUUUGCAUAAUUUCUUGAUGGGGGUAGAUCCUGAUGAAGACUUGAUUGCUGAGGUAGACGAAGAAAUCGCCAAUCAAAGUGCAUCUCAAACUGGUCAUGGCCAUAUAGAAGUAGAUGAGGAUGAAGAAAAUUCAGAUUUAGGUCAAAAUUUUAGAAAUUCUAUACUUGGUGCCAUGUGGACCAAUUACCUAUCAUAUCAUAGUAGAUGAUAAUGAUUUACUUAGCUAUUAUUCAGUGUGUAUGUUUCCAAAUAGCUAUUGCCAAAAAUAUUGGAAACUUGUUUGUUCAAAAUAUUCUAUAAUUUGUAGCUUUAAGUGGAAGAAUGUGUGUUGUUAUUGUUUCUAAAUAUUGGAAACUUGUUUGAGUAACUUGGAUAUUGAUGUUCCUGAUAUAUUGAAUAAACAUACUAUUUGUUGCAACUGUUAUUCCAAGAGUCACCAAAGAAAGAAUCAUGUCUACCUCUAAAAGAGAGACGUGGACAACAGAGAUGAACAAUGCUCUUAUUGAUGCCUUUGUUCAUCAAGUAAGUGCGGGAAACAAACAAGGUGGGACCUUUACAUCAAUAGCAUACACCAAUAUAACAAAGGAGAUGUCCGAAAAGUUUCAAAGACCUUUUGACAAGGAAAAGGUGAAAGAUAGAUGGAAAUUGGUGAAAAGAAAUUUUACUAAAUGUCAUGACAUUUUCAAUGGCAUGAGCGGUUUUGCUUGGAAAUCAGACACAUAUGUGGGAUGCUUUACCUGAAGUUUGGAAAACAUUAAUCGAGGCAAAACCUGAAGCUGCACAAUGGAUGAACAAACCUUUUGCCAAUUAUGACAAAUUGGUUAUUGCUUGUGGAGAUGAAAGGGCCACUGGAGGAAAGGUUAUGAAUGAUGAAGAUAUUCGCCAAAAUCAUCCCCUCAAUCGUGAGUCAGAAUCCAUUGGUACUAGUGACCAGGUGACACUAGAGAGUUUGCAAGAGGGCGGCAAUGAGCAGGAUGUCACUUCUCCUGAGGUCCAAAUUCCCCCAGAACCUAGAGCCAAAAGAUCUAGAAAGUCCCGAGAUGAAGAUGAAGUUGAAGGGAUAAAAGCUGCCCUUUUGAACGUUGCUGAUGCUUUUAGAGAGAGUACUGCAUCUCAUGAUAAGUAUUUUAAAGACAGCAUUGCAGCUUAUGAGAAAGCUAAUUUAAAACUUCCAAUUUCAGAAGAAGAAGUUUUUAAACUUCUUGAGGAAUUGCAAGUGGAUAGUCAUAUGAUCAUUCGGGCAUAUUCUUAUCUUCUAGAGUUUCCUGAGAAGGUUAGAGCUUUACUUGGACUUCCAAAACACUUGCGGAAGAGUUUUCUAUUAGAAUCGAUGGUUGGUCAAGGUUACUCGUCAAGGUAAUUUACCCAUUUUCUCAUCAAGUCAAGGUUAUAUCUUGGCAUUGGUGUAUGAGUAGGUUGAAGAUUGCAGCUUGUUUAUUUUAUUGAUAGUGUUUGUCUAUCACAUAUUAGAACCCACCUAUCAUCAUGCUACUGAUGGUUGUUUCAUCUCUACAUAUUGUUUUGGUCUCUAAUGAGGAUCUUGAAGUCCUAGAUUAUGACAUUAGUAUAGAAUUUUGUAAUCUUGUAUUGGGAUUUAGUUACUAGCAUAUUUGACACAUUUGUCAUUUUUAUGUCAUGUAUUGAUAUAACAGGAUAUGUUGCAUUUUCA
Molecule: non-coding RNA, 3327 nt
Organism: Medicago truncatula (barrel medic)
Lineage: Eukaryota; Viridiplantae; Streptophyta; Magnoliopsida; Fabales; Fabaceae
Source: RefSeq, a predicted model, not a curated record